RNAcentral lists this transfer RNA (57 nucleotides) under Ovis aries (sheep). The record is from Rfam by way of RNAcentral. Lineage: Eukaryota; Metazoa; Chordata; Mammalia; Artiodactyla; Bovidae.
UGGCUCAGACGGUAAAGCGUCUGCCUACAAUGCGGGAUACCCAGGUUCGAUCCCUGG